This 191-nucleotide microRNA precursor is filed under the name Oryza meridionalis. RNAcentral's name for it is "MIR812 microRNA precursor family". It matches the Rfam family "MIR812 microRNA precursor family". Lineage: Eukaryota; Viridiplantae; Streptophyta; Magnoliopsida; Poales; Poaceae. The record is from Rfam by way of RNAcentral.
AAUAAGCGUAGAAAUUUCCGCGUCGCCCGUUUUAUUUGAAAUUUUCUAUAAUUAACAUUUUUGUUGUUAUGAGAUAAUAAAAUAUGAAUAGUACUUUACUCUGUUGACUUGUGCUUUUAUUUUUUAAAAAAAAAAUUUAAAUAAAAUAAACGGUCAAAGUUGGACACGGAAAACCAUAACUAGCACGGAGG